AUGAGUCAGCCGUAAUUAGAUUAGUUUAGGGACAAGUCAGGAUCAGAGAAGAGUUGUUUUUGUGUUUUGUUAAUGUCUGAGUGAUCUUUAAAGUAUUUUACAAAAAGAUAUUGAAAAUUUCGUUGAAGGCAGAGUUUAGUAAUUAAGUUAGAAUUAAGAGUGUUGCGAGGUUAAAAAAACGUGCCUCGUGGAUCUCCCUGUUUUAGUAACAUGGAGAGAAAAAGUCUACAGGAAAAAGUGAACAAUUUAAUGAAGAUGAUUAGCCUUCCUUGAAAUAAGUAUUUGUGGAUGGGUGUUAAAUUAAAAUUUCCAGAAUACACUGUCCAUCUCACACACUCUGAAAUCUAAUAUAUGAAGUAGUAAUGAAAAUGAAGUAGUAAUUUAACCAGAGUUCAUUUAUCCUUGAAUAAACCUUUUUAUUUUCACCUCAGAAAAGUGAGUGUACCGGCAGUUAGUGUCACUGCUUUGCACAGUCCCCAUUAAAGGACCCUCCAGAGAGGGACAGUAACUGUGCAUGAGAAGCUGCUCCCAUGAGCCUCCUCAGCCAGAUGUCAUGGGUGAAACUGGAGCUGUGUCAGGGCCAGCACAGCUGAACUGUGACAAUGGCAGGAGGUGGCAUGUGCCCAGCACUUCCAUUAAUCUGAGCCUAGGAGUUGAAUUCUUUGGCAAGGUUGGAUUCUGAGGUCCUUAUUAUGUUAAUGAUGGUGCAAUACUCUCACCUGCAGUAGAACUGAGUUCUGCUGCAGCUUGUGUAAAAGCGGGCAGUACACAAGUAUGACCCGAAGCCUGCGAGCAGUAUACGUGGAUGCUCACCCAUGAGAAAGAGCACACACGCCUCAUUCUCUGCCCUCACCCACUGCUCACCUAGAGCAUCGCUGAGCGUUAGACAAAGUGUUACACAGAACGAUUAAAACUUUCAGACUUCUACCUAUGCUCUUUAGUCCUGUAAAUUGGGUUGUAUUGAUGUCAACUCUGGUGCCUUAGAAGUUAGUAGUUUGGGAACCUAUCUGUAAAAUCGGAUGUUUUUUCUUUGUAGAGAAGGAUUUCUGGUGCUUUUGCUUACUAAGAGACCGAUAUUCUUAAGUUGUUUUCUUGUUUUAACAGCCUUGAGAAAUGUUUGGUUUUUGGCCAGCGGAAUUCUUAUCUGCUUUUUUCUUUCCCAAAAAGUGUUUUUUAAUUUCUCUACCAAAGAAAAAAUGAGCAGGUUUAGGUUUUUACAUGACUUACAUACAUUAGAUAAAAGGAGCUAUAUAAUUUAGCAGGAAAGGACUAUGGGAGAAUACUUUACUGUGAGUGGAAAAUGUUAGCACAUUUGACUGGCUUGCCCUGGAAUCCACUGCACCUUUACACUGCACCAUGAAACCUACACUCCCUGGUAUCAUAGCGCGUCACCACCUCAACAAGUCAGUUGUCUCUAUUGAUACUUGUACAAAAGGUAUACAUGGGGAACACAUGUUCAUUCAUUAAGUCCAUCUUGCAUGCACCUAUAUCCCUGAUUGGUUAUUUUUCCUUUCCUUCUGAGGUUCUCAUGUCAUUUUCUUCAUCGGCUGUGACUAAAAUUUUUCCUGUGUCUUCCUGCCCUCUCUUUAAUUUUGCCUCUUGCAGGGUAGCAGAUGCGUCAGUGCAUUUUAUUACUUGCUGAAACAUUCAGGCUUACAUUUCUUAUUAGUUUAGUAUUUUAAAAGAUUUAAUUUUCUGAAUGAGGCAUUUGAAUUGUACCAGCAAUGGACUUUUAAAAAAUUGGAUGUAAAACCAUUCAGGGUAAUUUUUCUUAUCAGUGGACAGUAACAAACAGAGAUUUGAAAUCCCUUACCUCCAAUAAUAAGCCAUUCAGCCUAAAUUCAUUUUUAUGAAUAAAUCUCUUCUUUCUCAUGGUAAAUGUGGCUUGUGCCACUCAAACACUAGUGAAAGGGUAUGUUCAACCGCAACAUCAGGCCAGGACACCAUUUAUUUAACUAAGUAAUGGAGGAGAGUGAAACAUUUUCCAAGGCCUUAUUUCUUUUUCAGAAUGCUUUAAGUGUUGAUUAUAUGUGCUGGGUCUCUAGAGAAGUUUUUAUUUGUUACAAUACUGCUGCUUUGAGCAAUUUUGUUUCUCUUCAUUGUCUGUUAGGGAAAUCACCAGCUUUGGCAUCUUAACAACAAACAGUGGAUGGGUAAUUUUUAUUUCUGGUACGCAUCUUUAGAGUCAAAUAUAUCUUUUCCCUGUACUCCUCAUGUACAACCAAAGAACAUACAUUAUGAAAAUUGUAUUAUAAUAUCUGGAAACACAACAUUUUCCUCUGACAGGUGACUUUUGUACGAAAAAAAAAAAAAAAACCCUGUGUUUUUUUUGUUCUUUUGUGAUUAAGGAUAUACAUUUAGUAGUCUUUGUUAUUAAAGGAACCUGCUGAUAGGUGCAAGUGUGACCAUCUCAUUCAAAUGUUUGUUGUUAAGAUGCAAAUGGAUAUUGGUUUCAAUAGAAGCUGGAUCCUUAAUACUGCAUUUUCUGAAGUCUGUUUUAAUAUUUGUGUUAAAGUAGACAUAGCUGAACUCACAUGAAAUCCUGGAGUUUUGUUAUCAGCAGCUUUGCAGUUUGGGAAACAAAGAAACCAAAGCUGAGUAUUUUAAAGAAUGAACAUAUCUGGAAAUCCUUGCUCUCAAAACAAAACAAUAUAAUCUAUCAAAGGUGUUGUUUUACUCAGUGUUCUAAUUUUUAAAAAAUUUUAUCUGCAUAUUUGCAUCAAAUAUUUAUGUGCAAAAUGUAUGUUUUACCUCCUUAAAAUGCCUAAAAGUUAGUUAAUAGUUACUUUGGUUUAAUCUCUACACAAUGAUUAAGUGCAUUUAAUAUUGGUAAUUUAAUGAAAACCAUUCCUUACCCAAUGGAUGUAUAAAUUUUUGAAAGAAUAAGCAGAAUUAUAUAAUAUGAAAUGCUAUGUAAAGUUUUCUAUGUAAAAAUAUUAUGUAUAAUACUAUUAAAAUAUCCCAUGCUUUGAUCAGGUGGUAAAUCAAUAAAAUUUUAAAAAG
This 3003-nucleotide long non-coding RNA is filed under the name Pongo abelii (Sumatran orangutan). RNAcentral describes it as "lncRNA (ENSPPYG00000041090.1)". Lineage: Eukaryota; Metazoa; Chordata; Mammalia; Primates; Hominidae. The record is from RNAcentral.